ACAACAGUUGGAAACGACUGCUAAUACCGCAUAAGCCCACAGGUCGGCAUCGACCAGAGGGAAAAGGAGCAAUCCGCUUUGAGAUGGCCUCGCGUCCGAUUAGCUAGUUGGUGAGGUAACGGCCCACCAAGGCAACGAUCGGUAGCCGGACUGAAAGGUUGAACGGCCACAUUGGGACUGAGACACGGCCCAGACUCCUACGGGAGGCAGCAGUGGGGAAUAUUGCACAAUGGGGGAAACCCUGAUGCAGCGACGCCGCGUGGAGGAAGAAGGUCUUCGGAUUGUAAACUCCUGUUGUUGAGGAAGAUAAUGACGGUACUCAACAAGGAAGUGACGGCUAACUACGUGCCAGCAGCCGCGGUAAAACGUAGGUCACAAGCGUUGUCCGGAAUUACUGGGUGUAAAGGGAGUGCAGGCGGGAAGACAAGUUGGAAGUGAAAUCUAUGGGCUCAACCCAUAAACUGCUUUCAAAACUGUUUUUCUUGAGUAGUGCAGAGGUAGGCGGAAUUCCCGGUGUAGCGGUGGAAUGCGUAGAUAUCGGGAGGAACACCAGUGGCGAAGGCGGCCUACUGGGCACCAACUGACGCUGAGGCUCGAAAGUGUGGGUAGCAAACAGGAUUAGAUACCCUGGUAGUCCACACCGUAAACGAUGAUUAAAAGGUGUUGGAGGAUUGACCCCUUCAGUGCCG
RNAcentral lists this ribosomal RNA (689 nucleotides) under uncultured bacterium. Its description in RNAcentral is "bacterial SSU rRNA". It matches the Rfam family "Bacterial small subunit ribosomal RNA", at positions 143 to 848 of the family's 1533-position model. The record is from RNAcentral.